Molecule: long non-coding RNA, 603 nt
Filed under: Carassius auratus (goldfish)
Lineage: Eukaryota; Metazoa; Chordata; Actinopteri; Cypriniformes; Cyprinidae
Description: lncRNA (ENSCARG00000052836.1)
Source: RNAcentral
AUGACGUUAUUUGUUAAACUUAAAACACGUGGACUAAUCGUGGUUUUUAUGGUGAUGACGAUAUGUAGAUUUUCAAGUUCUCCUCCUCUACAGAAGAGGUCCAGCAAUUGCCGGUGUUCUCUGUCUUGUGCUGAAUUACCUGAGAUUUCAAAAAACGACCGCAUUGAAGUUCAUGUGCAAGAUCAAUCAAGAGUAAUUUAUAAUAAAGAACAAGAAGUCUCUAGUUUAUUUAAUGAAGGACAUUGUUCUGUGGUCGUGCCAGAAUGUUUACAAGAGGACAAAAAGUUCGAACUUAGAAUAUAUGGUCAGAGGAAACAGCCAAUCUAUGAAAAAAUGGAUUUAAAGCCUGUGUGUAAAACAGAGGAACCACCAGAAAAGAACAACAAGCUGACAGACGGAGAGGAUAAACCUGAUCCCGUCCCGUCAGAGAUCAAAGUCUCCAGUGGAGCUGAGAGGAUCUCCUUCAACACGUUCCUAAACCUGCUGAUCAUGGUCUUUUUUUUUUUCCUUUUUCCUGCCAAAGAAUUGGUGCCUUUUUUUGACAUCGAACGCACUACUCUACACUGGAAUGAAAUUAUUGUUUUAGACCAGACCAAGAGAUGA